This 460-nucleotide ribosomal RNA is filed under the name uncultured bacterium. Its description in RNAcentral is "partial 16S ribosomal RNA". It matches the Rfam family "Bacterial small subunit ribosomal RNA", at positions 338 to 795 of the family's 1533-position model. The record is from RNAcentral.
CCUACGGGAGGCAGCAGUGAGGAAUAUUGGUCAAUGGACGCAAGUCUGAACCAGCCAUGUCGCGUGCAGGAUGACGGCCCUAUGAGUUGUAAACUUCUUUUAUAAAAGGAUAAACCGCGACACGUGUGCCUUGUUGCAAGUAUUUUAUGAAUAAGGAUCGGCUAACUCCGUGCCAGCAGCCGCGGUAAUACGGAGGAUCCGAGCGUUAUCCGGAUUUAUUGGGUUUAAAGGGAGCGUAGAUGGUUUGUUAAGUCAGUUGUGAAAGUUUGCGGCUCAACCGUAAAAUUGCAAUUGAUACUGGCAGUCUUGAGUAUAGUUGAGGUAGGCGGAAUGCGUGGUGUAGCGGUGAAAUGCUUAGAGAUCACGAAGAACCCCGAUUGCGAAGGCAGCUUACCAAACUGUGACUGACAUUGAGGCUCGAAAGCGUGGGUAGCAAACAGGAUUAGAUACCCUUGUAGUC